GAAAUGCGAUAAGUAAUUUGAAUUGCAGAAUUCAGUGAAUCAUCGAAUCUUUGAACGCACCUUGCGCUCCUUGGUAUUCCGAGGAGCAUGCCUGUUUGGGUGUCAUGGAAUUCUCAACUCUAUUUGCUUUUGUGAAUAGAGCUUGGAUUUGGAGGUUUAUUGCUGGUACUUGUGAUCGGCUCCUCUUGAAUGCAUUAGCUCGAACCUUUGCGGAUCAGCUAUCGGUGUGAUAAUUGUCUACGCCGUUGCAGUGAAGCAUAUCAAUGGGCUCGGCUUCCAAUCGUCCUUUACUGGACAAUGACUUUGACCUUUGACCUCAAAUCAGGUAGGAUUACCCGCUGAACUUAAGC
This 350-nucleotide unclassified non-coding RNA is filed under the name plant metagenome. RNAcentral describes it as "partial contains 5.8S ribosomal RNA, internal transcribed spacer 2, and large subunit ribosomal RNA". The stretch from base 1 to 105 matches the Rfam family "5.8S ribosomal RNA", at positions 50 to 154 of the family's 154-position model. The record is from RNAcentral.